Molecule: ribosomal RNA, 425 nt
Filed under: uncultured bacterium
Lineage: Bacteria
Description: bacterial SSU rRNA
Rfam family: Bacterial small subunit ribosomal RNA
Source: RNAcentral
GGGGAAUAUUGCACAAUGGGGGAAACCCUGAUGCAGCCAUGCCGCGUGUGUGAAGAAGGCCUUCGGGUUGUAAAGCACUUUCAGCGAGGAGGAAAGGUUGAUGCCUAAUACGUAUCAGCUGUGACGUUACUCGCAGAAGAAGCACCGGCUAACUCCGUGCCAGCAGCCGCGGUAAUACGGAGGGUGCAAGCGUUAAUCGGAAUUACUGGGCGUAAAGCGCACGCAGGCGGUUGGAUAAGUUAGAUGUGAAAGCCCCGGGCUCAACCUGGGAAUUGCAUUUAAAACUGUCCAGCUAGAGUCUUGUAGAGGGGGGUAGAAUUCCAGGUGUAGCGGUGAAAUGCGUAGAGAUCUGGAGGAAUACCGGUGGCGAAGGCGGCCCCCUGGACAAAGACUGACGCUCAGGUGCGAAAGCGUGGGGAGCAAAC